UGACGGUAUCUAACCAGCAAGUCACGGCUAACUACGUGCCAGCAGCCGCGGUAAUACGUAGGUGGCAAGCGUUAUCCGGAUUUAUUGGGCGUAAAGGGAACGCAGGCGGUUUUUUAAGUCUGAUGUGAAAGCCUUCGGCUUAACCGGAGAAUAGCAUUGGAAACUGGAAGACUUGAGUGCAGAAGAGGAGAGUGGAACUCCAUGUGUAGCGGUGAAAUGCGUAGAUAUAUGGAAGAACACCAGUGGCGAAAGCGGCUCUCUGGUCUGUAACUGACGCUGAGGUUCGAAAGCGUGGGUAGCAAACAGGAUUAGAUACCCUG
RNAcentral lists this ribosomal RNA (320 nucleotides) under uncultured bacterium. RNAcentral's name for it is "bacterial SSU rRNA". It matches the Rfam family "Bacterial small subunit ribosomal RNA", at positions 470 to 789 of the family's 1533-position model. The record is from RNAcentral.